AUUGAACGCUGGCGGCAUGCUUUACACAUGCAAGUCGAACGGUAACAGGCCGCAAGGUGCUGACGAGUGGCGAACGGGUGAGUAAUGCAUCGGAACGUGCCCAGUCGUGGGGGAUAACUACUCGAAAGAGUAGCUAAUACCGCAUACGAUCUAUGGAUGAAAGCGGGGGACCGUAAGGCCUCGCGCGAUUGGAGCGGCCGAUGUCAGAUGAGGUAGUUGGUGGGUAAAGGCUCACCAAGCCAACGAUCUGUAGCUGGUGUGAGAGGACGACCAGCCACACUGGGACUGAGACACGGCCCAGACUCCUACGGGAGGCAGCAGUGGGGAAUUUUGGACAAAGGGCGCAAGCCUGAUCCAGCAAUGCCGCGUGCAGGAAGAAGGCCUUCGGGUUGUAAACUGCUUUUGUACGGAACGAAACGGCUCUGGUUAAUACCCGGGGCUAAUGACGGUACCGUAAGAAUAAGCACCGGCUAACUACGUG
Molecule: ribosomal RNA, 481 nt
Filed under: uncultured bacterium
Lineage: Bacteria
Description: partial 16S ribosomal RNA
Rfam family: Bacterial small subunit ribosomal RNA
Source: RNAcentral